AUCUUUGUCAUGUACAGUUCAUAUAGCUAAUGGCUCCUUGCAAAUGACUUUGACCCUACUACAACUGGUCAAAAUUUACAUGCAUAUUGUUUCUGUUGGGUUCACUUCAUAUAGGAGCGAAAUAUUAGAAGUUCUUGCAUUCAGGUUUAUGUGAGUUCUUACUAUGGCUCGACUUUGAUGUCGCACAAUUGUAAUAUCACGCCUUUGAAUGACCUUUUCAUAAUACUUUUGUUCAUGCAACCUGGUUCUGAGUACGUUUACGAUGAGCAUUAUUUUAGAUUGCAUAAUUAUUCUUUAUAGCAAUUUUUUCAGAACUGAUGACAGUGGGAAAGGCUCCCACUGACUUUAUAUUAAUAUGUUAGUGUGUCAAAACAGUCCAGUCAGUUUAUGUUACAUGAUGAGAAGGAGCUGGGGAGGGGUCAGGAGAAGUAAAUACAAGUGGCCUAGUAAGAAUUACAAUGUGGCUAUCAAAGACAGAAUGUAGGGGCCAACCUCCAGUUCAUAGAUAACAUAGGAAUACCUUUUCAAGCUUAAUUAGUGUUGUAAUAUCAUUGUUGUCGAGUAUAUUAUUAUGAUAUGUUUUUGCAAAAUAAUUAGCCUGUGUAGAAGCAUGUGUUGUUAACUAGUAUUAUCUAAUUGAUAUGCGCCUAGCACUUUUCAUCACCUAGUAUUUAGCUGGGCUGCAUGUCUUAUCGAGUUUAGUGUAGUGGAACUUUUUAUGUCAGAUAAGCACAAUGGAGUUUAGUUCUUUUCUCCCAACCAACUCUGUUGACCUAUGUAUGUUCAUCAUUACUUUUUGUUGUUGCUAGUUGUUUCGAUUAAAUUUGUUGCACCACUUUGCAUCCAGGGAGUGAAAAAAUAUAGAACCUUAUAACAUGUAGUUAGCUACUUCUAGUUUUACCUACUUGCUAUAUUAUUUUAUAAUGUGACAUAAUUUUCAUCAUGUGGCAGAUAUUCGUUUGGAGCAUUUUCAACAACAAAGACGUGCGUUAUGAUCACUUUGGUGUGCAGCCAGAAACAUGGGAUGACCCCUAGUUGAUGUUUUACGAGAGCUGGCCUCGGUUGAUUUGGGCGUUACUGGGUGUAGAGUAGCAUAGUGUUCUUUGAGACGUACUUGUAAAGUUAAUGUUUCCUGUGUUUUCUUUUUGCUCCCGUACUGGUAUACUAUUGGUGUAUUUUUGUAAUUUUCUUUUUUAAUGACAUGAGCAUAUAUUUUUCGUCAAAUUCUUAAUGGCUUGAAAUUUCCAUGGACCGAGAGAAAUGAGAGAUGGGCC
RNAcentral lists this long non-coding RNA (1274 nucleotides) under Triticum aestivum (bread wheat). Its description in RNAcentral is "long non-coding RNA (TAES_LNC023377)". The record is from RNAcentral. Lineage: Eukaryota; Viridiplantae; Streptophyta; Magnoliopsida; Poales; Poaceae.